UCUCUCGCUGUGUCUCUCUCUGUCAAAUAAAUAAAUAAAAUCUUAAAAAAAAAAAAAAAUACUCCAGAGUGCCACCCUCUCCAACUGAGCCUGUUUGGUUAUGUGUUUAUUUACUUAUUUUUUCUCAGUGGCUUGAUUGUGGGUUUCCUUUCCCCUUCAGGUGAGAAAAAUAUUAGGUUGCUACUAAAGAAACAGUAGUUCUCUCUGCAAAGGUUUGGAUCAAGAUUAAAUCUUGAGAGAGAGCACAAGCAGGAGGAGCAACAGGCAGAGAGAGGGAGAAGCAGACUCCCCGUUGAGCAGGGAGCCCGAUGUGGGGCUCGAUCCCAGGACCCCAGGAUCAUGACCCAAGCUGAAAGCAGACGCUUAACAACUGAGCCACCCAGGCGCCCCAGUGCAUGAUUUCUUUUUAAAGCAUCCAAAAUCUCUUCACAGGGCAGCUGCUUCUCCACCCACACUUAGCCUUAGCACCAUGUCUUCCACAUCGGAUGUAUUCCAUAGGAGUGAGUUGACAUAACUGAAUUGAGUUGGACACCCAGCAGAAUAAAUACCACACAGUUUAGUGCCACUGGUGCUAAAAUUCUUCAUGCAGACCAAAGCAGAUGUGAUGUCAUGUUCAAUUAUUGCUCAACUCUUGGCAAGGAUCUGAAGACAGAUAGAAACAUCUUGAUCUAUUUGUGCAAGAAGUCCGUGAUUGCAGCAUCUGCAGCAAGUAUAAAUUUUUAUCUUAAAAAUCGAUGUCUCUGGCCUGGAGAAAAUAAAUUAGAUUGAUUUUUUUUUUUUUUAAACACCAAAGACAGAGACUUCAUUAUCUCGAAAGGGGUUUGCUAUCCAUGUUAUUUAAGGAAAACAUAAUUGAAGAUACAACUUCAUCCUGGGUAUACUGGACUGAUUUGACACUAGACUUUUUUUUAAAAGGUAUAGGGCACUUUUGUCUUCAUUAUUGAAACAUCUCUGUAACUGGUCCUUCUCAAAGAGACUAUCUGCUGAAAUAUCACUAGGUUGCCAUUCAGGCGGAAGUGAGGAAGAUUUCUGGGAAGGUGUAACCCCUGACUGGAAGAAUCGCCUCUGAAGAACAUAUCUCCCCAUUGUCCUUCCUUCAGCUGGGCCUCAGUUUCUGCAACUGUAAAAUGAAUGGGCUGGUCGCCAGAUAAUCUUUAACAUUCCUUCUAAUUAAAACUUUCACAAUUCUUUGUUUUUGUUUUUGUUUUGUUUUGUUUUGUUUUUGCCAGCAGAAAUGAAGGGCAAUUGGUCAGCUGAUACCAAAUGAUGAAUCUUAGGUGUUUGUUGUCGUUGUUCUUCAAAGUGAUUCUGUGGGCACCUAGGUGGCUCAGUCUGUUAAGCCUCUCCCUUUGGCUCAGGUCAUGAUCCCAGGGUCCUGAGGUUGAGCCCCACAGCAUCAGGCUCAGUGCUUGGGCGGGGAGCCUGUUUCUCCCUCUUCCUCUGCCUGCCGCUCCCCCUGUUGUGCACUCUCUCUCUCUCUUUCUCUCUGUCAAAUAAAUAAAUAAAAUCUUUAAAAAAAAAGUGAUUCUUGUAAGGAAAGACUUCUGCUGUCACUAGGCCUCCCAAAGUAUUUGUGUCCACAGGUAAGGGUUUGCAUUUCAAAUAGAAACCCUGAAAAUAGCAGGAGGGUGAAGUCUGGCCUCUGUAAACCAGGCAUUGCUUAGAAUGAGUCACAGACUAUCUUAAAAAUACUGGAAAUCUUAAUUAGUGUUUUUUCUUCUUAAAUCAGUUUUACUGAGAUGCAAUUGACCUACACUAAAAUGCACACAUUUGAAGGGAACUGCUGAUCAGUUUUGACAAAUAUUUGCUCCCAGAGAAACUGCCACCCCCAUUACCCCCACAC
This is a long non-coding RNA of Mirounga angustirostris (Northern elephant seal), 1843 nucleotides long. RefSeq lists it as uncharacterized. Lineage: Eukaryota; Metazoa; Chordata; Mammalia; Carnivora; Phocidae. The transcript is spliced from 3 exons. The record is from RefSeq and is a predicted model, not a curated record.